Molecule: ribosomal RNA, 484 nt
Filed under: uncultured bacterium
Lineage: Bacteria
Description: partial 16S ribosomal RNA
Rfam family: Bacterial small subunit ribosomal RNA
Source: RNAcentral
AUUGAACGCUGGCGGCAGGCCUAACACAUGCAAGUCGAGCGGAUGAAGGGAGCUUGCUCCUGGAUUCAGCGGCGGACGGGUGAGUAAUGCCUAGGAAUCUGCCUGGUAGUGGGGGAUAACGUCCGGAAACGGGCGCUAAUACCGCAUACGUCCUGAGGGAGAAAGUGGGGGAUCUUCGGACCUCACGCUAUCAGACGAGCCUAGGUCGGAUUAGCUAGUUGGUGGGGUAAAGGCCUACCAAGGCGACGGUCCGUAACUGGUCUGAGAGGAUGAUCAGUCACACUGGAACUGAGACACGGUCCAGACUCCUACGGGAGGCAGCAGUGGGGAAUAUUGGACAAUGGGCGAAAGCCUGAUCCAGCCAUGCCGCGUGUGUGAAGAAGGUCUUCGGAUUGUAAAGCACUUUAAGUUGGGAGGAAGGGCAGUAAGUUAAUACCUUGCUGUUUUGACGUUACCAACAGAAUAAGCACCGGCUAACUUCGUG